UGACAUUAGUAUAUAUUUUGUGUGUAGGU
Molecule: small RNA, 29 nt
Filed under: Bombyx mori (domestic silkworm)
Lineage: Eukaryota; Metazoa; Arthropoda; Insecta; Lepidoptera; Bombycidae
Description: ovarian small RNA-31468
Source: RNAcentral